RNAcentral lists this ribosomal RNA (468 nucleotides) under uncultured bacterium. RNAcentral's name for it is "partial 16S ribosomal RNA". It matches the Rfam family "Bacterial small subunit ribosomal RNA", at positions 28 to 507 of the family's 1533-position model. The record is from RNAcentral.
GACGAACGCUGGUGGCGUGCUUAACACAUGCAAGUCGAACGGAAAGGCCCUGCUUUUGUGGGGUGCUCGAGUGGCGAACGGGUGAGUAACACGUGAGUAACCUGCCCUUGACUUUGGGAUAACUUCAGGAAACUGGGGCUAAUACCGGAUAGGAGCUCCUGCUGCAUGGUGGGGGUUGGAAAGUUUCGGCGGUUGGGGAUGGACUCGCGGCUUAUCAGCUUGUUGGUGGGGUAGUGGCUUACCAAGGCUUUGACGGGUAGCCGGCCUGAGAGGGUGACCGGCCACAUUGGGACUGAGAUACGGCCCAGACUCCUACGGGAGGCAGAAGUGGGGAAUAUUGCAAAAUGGGCGGAAGCCUGAUGCAGCAACGCCGCGUGCGGGAUGACGGCCUUCGGGUUGUAAACCGCUUUCGCCUGUGACGAAGCGUGAGUGACGGUAAUGGGUAAAGAAGCACCGGCUAACUACGUG